UUCCGGUUGAUCCCGCCGGACCUGACUGCUAUCGGAUUGAUACUAAGCCAUGCUAGUCUUUGUAGUAAUACAAGGCAUACGGCUCAGUAACGCGUAGUCAACCUACCCUAUGGACGGGGAUAAUCUCGGGAAACUGAGCAUAAUACCCGGCAGACCACUUAUCCUGGAAUGGUUAGUGGUUAAAAUGAUUCGUCGCCAUAGGAUGGGACUGCGGCCUAUCAGCUUGUUGGUGAGGUAAUGGCCCACCAAGGCGAUUACAGGUACGGGCUCUGAGAGGAGAAGCCCGGAGAUGGGUACUGAGACAAGGACCCAGGCCCUAUGGGGCGCAGCAGGCGAGAAAACUUUGCAAUGUGCGAAAGCACGACAAGGUUAAUCCGAGUGAUUUCUGCUAAAGGAAUCUUUUGUUAGUUCUAAAUCUACUAGUGAAUAAGGGGUGGGCAAGUUCUGGUGUCAGCCGCCGCGGUAAAACCAGCACCUCAAGUGGUCAGGAGGAUUAUUGGGCCUAAAGCAUCCGUAGCCUGUUCUAUAAGUUUGCGGUUAAAUCUAUACGCUCAACGUAUAGGCUGCCGUAAAUACUGUAGAACUAGGGAGUGGGAGAGGUAGACGGUACUCGGUAGGAAGGGGUAAAAUCCUUUGAUCUAUCGAUGACCACCUGUGGCGAAGGCGGUCUACCAGAACACGUUCGACGGUGAGGGAUGAAAGCUGGGGGAGCAAACCGGAUUAGAUACCCGGGUAGUCCCAGCUGUAAACGAUGCAGACUCGAUGAUGCAAUGGCAUAGAGCUAUUGCAGUAUCGCAGGGAAGCCGUUAAGUCUGCCGCCUGGGAAGUACGUACGCAAGUAUGAAACUUAAAGGAAUUGGCGGGGGAGCACCACAAGGGGUGAAGCCUGCGGUUCAAUUGGAGUCAACGCCGGG
This 914-nucleotide ribosomal RNA is filed under the name uncultured marine archaeon. Its description in RNAcentral is "bacterial SSU rRNA". It matches the Rfam family "Archaeal small subunit ribosomal RNA", at positions 1 to 922 of the family's 1478-position model. The record is from RNAcentral.